This 253-nucleotide ribosomal RNA is filed under the name uncultured bacterium. Its description in RNAcentral is "partial 16S ribosomal RNA". It matches the Rfam family "Bacterial small subunit ribosomal RNA", at positions 524 to 776 of the family's 1533-position model. The record is from RNAcentral.
UACAGAGGUGGCAAGCGUUGUUCGGAAUCACUGGGCUUAAAGGGCGCGCAGGCGCCCGACAGGGUGUCUUGUGAAAUCCCCCGGCUUAACCGGGGAACUGCGAGGCAAACCGGUCGGCUUGAGGCAGGUAGGGGCCGAUGGAACUCUGGGUGGAGCGGUGAAAUGCGUAGAUAUCCAGGGGAACGCCAAUGGUGAAAACAGUCGGCUGGGCCUGUCCUGACGCUGAGGCGCGAAAGCCAGGGGAGCAAACGGG